Molecule: small RNA, 908 nt
Filed under: Arabidopsis thaliana (thale cress)
Lineage: Eukaryota; Viridiplantae; Streptophyta; Magnoliopsida; Brassicales; Brassicaceae
Description: ATSL108890
Source: RNAcentral
AAAGGGGAUUCUAAUCCCUUGUGAAACAGAUUAGAGUUUUGAUCAAGAACAGAGAAAGAAUUAAGGUUUUUAGAAGGUAUAGCUGCAUCCAUGAUGGAUUGCCUACGUACCCUGUGAAGGAAUCAAGCCAUUCGUAGUUCUCACUAGGUAUAAAGUUAUGUGUUUCUUCUGAGUAUCAAAAGAUCUUCCUUUUGUGAAGUCCCUGAGGCGCUUUAUAUAGGCCGUUAAACCGCCUCCCUAGCGAUAUUCUCGUAAGAUUUCCAUUUAUCCUUAAGUCGGUUCUGGAGGAUAAUCGUAUUAAAGAUAUUUUCUUUAUUCUUCGGAGGCUUCAGAAGGAUUUCUUGAUCCGACAUUAUCUUCAAACAUUCUCCUUUAUCAUUUCCGAAAGUCCCAUAAAAGAUCUUAUUUUACCGGAAAUGAUCCUUUGAGAAUGAAUGGUUUUUACAAGUCUUUGCCUCAGGUGUUCUUCACGGCUCGGUGGUCGUUUGAGAGGUGGCUUCGAGCAAACGGUAUGUACCGGUUCGGGGCGCGCUUGAUGACUGUCCAUUAAGCUCAGUUGGCUGUCUCCAAAGCCGAUAUAUAUGUUUCCCGCACCGUUUUCACGAUUGGCUCGGGCUGUGUUCAUAGGAUUAACAUCCGAGCCAUUUUACGAAGUCUCUCCAGGACGGUUGAUCGAAUAAGGUCCCAAGGUGCUUUGUUCUAGGCUAGGGGCCAAUCAUAUGUUUAACCAUGAGGUGAUUGUUAUUCUUAGACUGUUUGGCUCGGUCUUGCUUGUGGGGGAAUCCGACCCCAACAAAAAUAAUGAUCACUACUUAACUAGCACAAAAGGAUAAGCUACAUAGCCUACAUAGUGUGGUCAAAAACACAAUCUACUAAUUAAUCAUAUUUAUUUCAUUAAUUAAGUCUUU